Non-coding RNA from Xylariaceae sp. FL0255, 93 nucleotides. NCBI's taxonomy places the organism in Eukaryota, Fungi, Ascomycota, Sordariomycetes, Xylariales, Xylariaceae. The record is from the annotation of a GenBank genome assembly.
GGCCGCUUGGCCUAAUGGCUAGGGCGUCAGAUUUCGGCUCACAUUAAGUGAUAAAAUCUCUGAAGAUUGUCGGUUCGAAUCCGACAGUGGUCG